UGCCUCUUCAUCAACGAUCUGGACGCGGGUGCAGGUCGCAUGGGAGGCACCACCCAGUACACGGUGAACAACCAGAUGGUGAACGCCACCCUGAUGAACAUCGCCGACAACCCAACCAACGUGCAGCUCCCCGGGAUGUACAACAAGGAGGACAACCCCCGUGUCCCCAUCAUCGUCACCGGCAACGACUUCUCCACGCUGUACGCGCCGCUCAUCCGUGACGGGCGUAUGGAGAAGUUCUACUGGGCUCCCACCCGCGACGACCGUGUCGGCGUCUGCAAGGGUAUCUUCCGCACCGACAACGUCCCCGACGAGGACAUCGUCAAGAUCGUCGACAGCUUCCCAGGCCAAUCCAUCGAUUUCUUCGGCGCUCUUCGUGCCCGUGUUUACGACGACGAGGUGCGCAAGUGGGUGUCGGACACGGGUGUGGAGAACAUUGGCAAGAGGCUGGUGAACUCGAGGGAGGGCCCACCGGAGUUCGAGCAGCCCAAGAUGACGAUCGAAAAGCUCAUGGAGUACGGAUACAUGCUUGUGAAGGAGCAGGAGAACGUCAAGCGUGUGCAGCUGGCUGAGCAGUACUUGAGCGAGGCUGCUCUUGGUGACGCUAACUCCGACGCCAUGAAGACUGGUUCCUUCUACGGUUCUGCGCCAUCCAGCUGAAUAAAAGAUCUCUAGCUAUUCGCAUCCCAUCGAUGCAUCGUAGGCGGCCUGCAUAGGAGGAGGAGGGCAAGGAGCACAGCAAGCAGGUAACCUGCCUGUGCCGGAAGGUUGCACCGACCCUGUUGCCAAGAACUUCGACCCAACGGCGAGGAGCGACGACGGCAGCUGCCUUUACACCUUUUAAGCAGGCCGGCUUGACGCUUGCUAUUAAUUAUUUCUCCUUUUUAUGUUUUCUCUUUGUUCUGUGUAUCAGAUCGCGCCCAAGCCAUAGCUGGGCAUGACAAGUUUUUGUUAAUAAUAAUAUAAUAUAAAGAUAUGGGCG
Molecule: unclassified non-coding RNA, 982 nt
Filed under: Hevea brasiliensis (rubber tree)
Lineage: Eukaryota; Viridiplantae; Streptophyta; Magnoliopsida; Malpighiales; Euphorbiaceae
Source: RNAcentral